Molecule: long non-coding RNA, 2547 nt
Organism: Sus scrofa (pig)
Lineage: Eukaryota; Metazoa; Chordata; Mammalia; Artiodactyla; Suidae
Source: RefSeq, a predicted model, not a curated record
AUAGGCCAGGGCAACGCCAUACGAGCUAAAAGAUGAGUGACUUUAUUCUGGAGGACAUGGCAGGGCUGGUCAGCCAAGUUUCUGAGUUGAAUGACCUGAUCAGGACUUGAAGAAGAUUUGAAAUGUCCCCAGGAAGUGCUGCUGAGUUGCAGAUGUGGUGACAACCCUCAUCAGACCCAGAGGACGAUCUGGGCCGUGGUGAGCCUGAAGUCAGUUUCUGGUUCCAGGGUGGGUCGGCACACCAUAGGACAGAUGGUCAGGAUCAGUUUGGCCCCUACUCUUUUCUGGGCAAUAAUAAUGUAACGGACAUUUCAUCAGCAGCAAGGCAUGCUGGGUGAAUGAUUGCUGUGUGAUAUUAAAGUUUUUAUAAAAGGAGUUCCCAUCGUGGCUCAGUGGGUUAAAAACCUGACAUAGUCUCCGUGAGUAUGCUGGUUUGAUCCCUGGCCUCGCUCCGUGAGUUAAGGAUCCCGCAUUGCCUGCAAACCGUGAUGUGGAUCACCGACUUGGAUGGGAUCCCACGUUACUGUGGCUGUGGUGUAGGCUGGCAGCUGCAGCUCCGAUUCAGCCUGGGAACUUCCAUAUGCCACAGACUUUCUUCCUCCUUCUCAGAGCGAGGAUUGCCUGGUUCCCUGGUUUUAAGAUAGAGCACCGCCACCUCGGCGUCUUAAAGAACAUGGCACCCAUGAUCUCACACGACCGUCCAACAGUUGGAGGAGGGAGCAGGCAAAAGUGCUUAAGUGACUGUCAGAACAGGGACAGUACAAAAGAAAUACAAUAACUAGGUCCUACCAGCGAAUACAAAUUUUCUGCCUGUUCAUGCCAACCUCAUCCCAGAAUCGUGGCCUGCAUCGUAGAAACCAAAACCAUCUGAUAGUCAGUCACAUGUCAGGCAGGAGCGCGUGUCUUUUCCGAAGCCCCCCCUGCCCUUACGUGAUCAUCGUUCCACUGUUUCUGAAAGUGUGCAACAUUACCUUUGGAAGGACAGUGGUCACGCUGGAAGAUUUAUUGAGGAGUCUUCCACGGAAACAGCUACGAGAGAAAAAAAGCCUUUGAUUUUGGACUGAUGGAUUUUUCUACUCCGAGGUAAUGGGUCAAAGAUGGACUUUCCUCCAAGAAAUCUCAUUGAAACAUUUGAUUUUCUUCCCUUUCAGACUCUGAAGGAGACAGUGAUUCAUGUUUACCUUGCUUUUAUGGUUAUGAUGGAUCGCUGAGUUCCGCCAACAUUCAAGACAGAUGCACAGAGCUCUAGGAAGCCUGUUUUUGUUUAUAUAUGAUUUCCAAAUAUUAACCCAGACAGAAAAAAAAAAUGCAUGCGGUAUGUGUUUAUAGCAAAUGUCAUUUCCACGUGUCCCAUGCACAGCUUCAGGAAAGGAGGAAAUAAAUCUGAAUAUGGACUAGCCCGGGGCUCAUCCCGUGAAUAGGCUGCGGCCUGCAUGGAGUGAUUUCAAAGUCACUGAAAAAUACCUCUCUAUCCUCAACUUGCUCUCCAACAGUAUUUAGCCAUACCCAAGCUAAUCCUGCCAAUGUAAUCUCCUGACCCGUCUAAGGAGGAGAUGGAGGGAAGUUCUGAGUUUGUCGAGCUGAGACCUGAUUCAGCGAUGUCAUAAAACAUUUGAAGCGGCUUGAUGAAACCGUAGCGUUAUCCCGGACUGGAUGGGACAUUAUGAUGGAAAACGCUGGCCUGACCCCUCGCGUGUCUGACUUAGGGGGCAACGAGUGCCUUCUGAAGUACAAGAGUCAUCAUCCAUGUGGAAGUGAAAGCUGGUGUUUCAUUAGGAGAUGGCCUUGCAAAUACCUUGCUUGCCAAGUGCACAAAAUUGGCUAGAAAGCAAAACGGGGUUGCGACACACCAUGUUUAGAGAAAUUGUUGAAGUGUAGCAAAUUUCCCCCAUUCUAAAAUCAUAAUAAUUUGCAGAGCGGAAAUUGUGGUCUAAGAGGAAUCUAUUUGGAAAAAAAAAAAAAAAAAAGCUGGGCAUUAAAAAUAACUCCUAAUCACUCCCUGUCAAGUCUUAUGGAGCCAAGUUUGGACCCAAUAAAACUUGGUACACCAUUCUAAUGAGAUCCAGAUGCUCAAUCCAAUACGUGAGACCAUAGAGAUCAAGAGAAAGCCUUUGCUCAGCUGGAUCCCACAUCAAUGACAGUGUGAACUUUUGGCUGUUCAAAACUUCCGGGGGGCGGGAGGGAAUGUCACAGGCCAUGUAUUGUCACAGGCCAUGUAUUCUAGACAACAAUAACAACGACCACUUCAGAUGGGCUUAUUUGUUGUCCAAGUGCCUGCCGAGUUGUAUUCCGUAUGCCUGUACAGAUGCGAACAACAUCCAACAUCGUCCUGUCUCUUGGUUAUCAUGUAGUGGACUUGCCAAGGGUACAACAAUAGGAAAAAUUUGCAUCUGACGACUCUGCUAACGACAUGCAGCUUGACCUCAUUUUAUAGACUUGAUUUGCUUUCAAUUAUUUUCGCAAAAUAAAGUUCUUUGCCUUACAUUCCUAGUAAUUGCACGAGUCAAUUUGACGCAUUUCUCUCUCUCCAAACAACAUGGUACAUUU